AUUGAACGCUAGCGGGAUGCCUUACACAUGCAAGUCGAACGGAGUGGCGAACGGGGGAGUAAUGUAUCGGAACGUGCCCAGUAGCGGGGGAUAACUACGCGAAAGCGUAGCUAAUACCGCAUACUAUUGGAGCGGCAGAUAUCGGAUUAGCUAGUGGGUGGGGUAACGGCUCACCAAGGCGACGAUCCGUAGCUGGUUUGAGAGGACGACCAGGCACACUAGGCCUGAGACACGGCCCAGACUCCUACGUGAGGAAGCAGUGGAGAAUGGUGGACAAGAGGGGAAACCCUGAUCCAGCCAUCCCGCGUGUGAUAUGAAGGCCUUCGGGUUGUAGAGCACUUUUGUCAGGAAAGCGGUACCUGCAGAAUAAGCACCGGCUAACUACGUGCCAGCAGCCGCUGUAAUUC
Molecule: ribosomal RNA, 407 nt
Filed under: uncultured bacterium
Lineage: Bacteria
Description: partial 16S ribosomal RNA
Rfam family: Bacterial small subunit ribosomal RNA
Source: RNAcentral